GACGAACGCUGGCGGCGUGCUUAACACAUGCAAGUCGAACGGAAAGGCCCUGCUUUUGUGGGGUGCUCGAGUGGCGAACGGGUGAGUAACACGUGAGUAACCUGCCCUUGACUUUGGGAUAACUUCAGGAAACUGGGGCUAAUACCGGAUAGGAGCUCCUGCUGCAUGGUGGGGGUUGGAAAGUUUCGGCGGUUGGGGAUGGACUCGCGGCUUAUCAGCUUGUUGGUGGGGUAGUGGCUUACCAAGGCUUUGACGGGUAGCCGGCCUGAGAGGGUGACCGGCCACAUUGGGACUGAGGUACGGACCAGACUCCUACGGGAGGCAGCAGUGGGGAAUAUUGCACAAUGGGCGGAAGCCUGAUGCAGCAACGCCGCGUGCGGGAUGACCGCCUUCGGGUUGUAAACCGCUUUCGCCUGUGACGAAGCGUGAGUGACGGUAAUGGGUAAAGAAGCACCGGCUAACUACGUG
RNAcentral lists this ribosomal RNA (468 nucleotides) under uncultured bacterium. Its description in RNAcentral is "partial 16S ribosomal RNA". It matches the Rfam family "Bacterial small subunit ribosomal RNA", at positions 28 to 507 of the family's 1533-position model. The record is from RNAcentral.